This 354-nucleotide unclassified non-coding RNA is filed under the name soil metagenome. Its description in RNAcentral is "partial contains 5.8S ribosomal RNA, internal transcribed spacer 2, and large subunit ribosomal RNA". The stretch from base 1 to 120 matches the Rfam family "5.8S ribosomal RNA", at positions 35 to 154 of the family's 154-position model. The record is from RNAcentral.
GAUGAAGAACGCAGCGAAACGCGAUAAGUAAUGUGAAUUACAGAAUUCCGUGAAUCAUCGAAUCUUUGAACGCACAUUGCGCCCCCUGGCAUUCCGGGGGGCAUGCCUGUCCGAGCGUCAUUUCAGCCCUCCAGCCCGGCUGGGUGUUGGGCGCUGUCCCCCCGGGGACACGCCCCAAAGGCAGUGGCGGCGCCGCGUCGGGUCCUCGAGCGUAUGGGGCUUUGUCACCCGCUCGGGACGGACUCGUCGGCGCUGGUCUUCCUCCAGGCGACCCUUCGGGGCUCGUCUUCCUUCGGUUGACCUCGGAUCAGGUAGGGUUACCCGCUGAACUUAAGCAUAUCAAUAAGCGGAGGA